Long non-coding RNA from Sinocyclocheilus grahami, 439 nucleotides. RefSeq lists it as uncharacterized. The record is from RefSeq and is a predicted model, not a curated record. The transcript is spliced from 2 exons. NCBI's taxonomy places the organism in Eukaryota, Metazoa, Chordata, Actinopteri, Cypriniformes, Cyprinidae.
CAUUAGUGACAAAUCACAAUUUCUGUCGAUAAUCUUUAAGGAAAGCCUGAUAUUUCAUAUGUGAAGACUAAAGGAUCACAAACACCAACUCUUAAGAUGAAGGACAAGGAGGUGAAAACAUCUUUGGAGACUGUCAGCGAUUACAGAUUACAUUCAACUCCUAUUCAAGAAUGCUGGCUUGUCCCAUUCCAGGCUGUGAUGGAGGCAGAGAUUUCUGAUUUUACUGUCACUCAGCUGUAGAGUUGACAAACAGUGUUUCCUUUUGAUUUUGAUGGUCCAUGUUAAGUAAAUGCUUCAGUGGUUUAAUCCUACCUGGCCUAGGAAGCCUUACUUAAGUAUAUUGUUUGCUUGAUACGCUGAUUAUUUUUGUAAAUCCACUUCAGCUGCCUUUCCACGGAUUAAUCCAAAUGGACUCUUAAUAAAUACAAAUUCUCAUGUC